Molecule: transfer RNA, 73 nt
Filed under: archaeon SCG-AAA382B04
Lineage: Archaea
Rfam family: tRNA
About the family: Transfer RNA (tRNA) molecules are approximately 80 nucleotides in length. Their secondary structure includes four short double-helical elements and three loops (D, anti-codon, and T loops).
Source: Rfam by way of RNAcentral
GGGUCUGUGGCCUAGUGGAUAAGGCUCCAGCCUCCUAAGCUGGUGAUCGCGGGUUCAAAUCCCGUCAGGCCCG